CCUACGGUGGGCAGCAGUGAGGAAUAUUGGUCAAUGGUCGGGAGACUGAACCAGCCAAACCGCGUGAGGGCUGAAGGUACAGAGUAUCGUAAACCUCUUUUGUCAGGGAACAAAGGCGGGGACGUGUCCCCGGAUGAGUGUACCUGAAGAAAAAGCACCGGCUAACUCCGUGCAAGCAGCCGCGGUAAUACGGAGGAUGAGAGCUUUGUCCGGAUUUAUUGGGGUUAACGGGUGCGCAGGCGGUCUGUUAAGUCAGCGGGAAAAGCCCGGGGGCUCAACCCCGGCCCGCCGUUGAAACUGGCAGUCGCGAGUUGGAGAGAAGUAUGCGGAAUGCGCGGUGUAGCGGUGAAAUGCAUAGAUAUCGCGCAGAACUCCGAUUGCGAAGGCAGCAUGCCGGCUCCACACUGACGCUGAGGCACGAAAGCGUGGGUAUCGAACAGGAUUAGAUACCCGGGUAGUC
RNAcentral lists this ribosomal RNA (460 nucleotides) under uncultured bacterium. Its description in RNAcentral is "partial 16S ribosomal RNA". It matches the Rfam family "Bacterial small subunit ribosomal RNA", at positions 338 to 795 of the family's 1533-position model. The record is from RNAcentral.